AGAUGGCGACCGGCGCACGGGUGAGUAACACGUAUCCAACCUGCCGAUAACUCGGGGAUAGCCUUUCGAAAGAAAGAUUAAUACCCGAUGGCAUAAUAGAACCGCAUGGUUUGAUUAUUAAAGAAUUUCGGUUAUCGAUGGGGAUGCGUUCCAUUAGGCAGUUGGUGGGGUAACGGCCCACCAAGCCUUCGAUGGAUAGGGGUUCUGAGAGGAAGGUCCCCCACAUUGGAACUGAGACACGGUCCAA
Molecule: ribosomal RNA, 247 nt
Filed under: uncultured bacterium
Lineage: Bacteria
Description: partial 16S ribosomal RNA
Rfam family: Bacterial small subunit ribosomal RNA
Source: RNAcentral